This 449-nucleotide ribosomal RNA is filed under the name uncultured bacterium. RNAcentral describes it as "partial 16S ribosomal RNA". It matches the Rfam family "Bacterial small subunit ribosomal RNA", at positions 29 to 523 of the family's 1533-position model. The record is from RNAcentral.
AACGAACGCUGGCGGCAUGCCUAACACAUGCAAGUCGAACGAGAUCUUCGGGUCUAGUGGCGCACGGGUGCGUAACGCGUGGGAAUCUGCCCUUUGGUUCGGAAUAACAGUUGGAAACGACUGCUAAUACCGGAUGAUGACGAAAGUCCAAAGAUUUAUCGCCAGAGGAUGAGCCCGCGUAGGAUUAGCUAGUUGGUGUGGUAAAGGCGCACCAAGGCGACGAUCCUUAGCUGGUCUGAGAGGAUGAUCAGCCACACUGGGACUGAGACACGGCCCAGACUCCUACGGGAGGCAGCAGUGGGGAAUAUUGGACAAUGGGCGCAAGCCUGAUCCAGCCAUGCCGCGUGAGUGACGAAGGCCUUAGGGUUGUAAAGCUCUUUCGUCAGGGAAGAUAAUGACGGUACCUGAAGAAGAAGCCCCGGCUAACUUCGUGCCAGCCGCCGCCGUAA